Molecule: ribosomal RNA, 729 nt
Filed under: Pantoea stewartii
Lineage: Bacteria; Pseudomonadati; Pseudomonadota; Gammaproteobacteria; Enterobacterales; Erwiniaceae
Description: bacterial SSU rRNA
Rfam family: Bacterial small subunit ribosomal RNA
Source: RNAcentral
UCGGACGGUAGCACAGAGGAGCUUGCUCCUCGGGUGACGAGUGGCGGACGGGUGAGUAAUGUCUGGGAAACUGCCCGAUGGAGGGGGAUAACUACUGGAAACGGUAGCUAAUACCGCAUAACGUCGCAAGACCAAAGUGGGGGACCUUCGGGCCUCACACCAUCGGAUGUGCCCAGAUGGGAUUAGCUUGUAGGCGGGGUAACGGCCCACCUAGGCGACGAUCCCUAGCUGGUCUGAGAGGAUGACCAGCCACACUGGAACUGAGACACGGUCCAGACUCCUACGGGAGGCAGCAGUGGGGAAUAUUGCACAAUGGGCGCAAGCCUGAUGCAGCCAUGCCGCGUGUAUGAAGAAGGCCUUCGGGUUGUAAAGUACUUUCAGCGGGGAGGAAGGUGUUGAGGUUAAUAACCUCAGCAAUUGACGUUACCCGCAGAAGAAGCACCGGCUAACUCCGUGCCAGCAGCCGCGGUAAUACGGAGGGUGCAAGCGUUAAUCGGAAUUACUGGGCGUARAGCGCACGCAGGCGGUCUGUUAAGUCAGAUGUGAAAUCCCCGGGCUUAACCUGGGAACUGCAUUUGAAACUGGCAGGCUUGAGUCUCGUAGAGGGGGGUAGAAUUCCAGGUGUAGCGGUGAAAUGCGUAGAGAUCUGGAGGAAUACCGGUGGCGAAGGCGGCCCCCUGGACGAAGACUGACGCUCAGGUGCGAAAGCGUGGGGAGCAAACAGGAUUA